This 346-nucleotide unclassified non-coding RNA is filed under the name uncultured soil eukaryote. RNAcentral describes it as "sequence contains 5.8S rRNA gene, ITS2, 28S rRNA gene". The record is from RNAcentral.
AACGCAAGUUGCGCCCGGAGCCUUCUGGCCGAGGGCACGUCUGCCUGGGCGUCACGCAUCGCUGCCCCCACAUACAACACCCACUUAGGUCUGUUGCAUUGGCGGGGGCACAUGUUGGCCUCCCGUGCGCAAUCGUCGCACGGAUGGCUUAAAAUUGAGUCCUCGGCAUCUGUUGUCGUGACACUACGGUGGUUGAUUCAACCUCGGUACCGUGUCUCGAUCUCAGCUUGCGUGCCUCCUCUUUGCGAGUGAGGGAGGAAUCUUAUGUUGACCCUUUGAACAUUGUCCCCAAAGACGAUGCUCUCGACGCGACCCCAGGUCAGGCGGGACUACCCGCUGAGUUUAA